AUGGAAACCAGGAUGCUAGCUGCCGUGCGCGCCGCCGACCGCGAAUUGCUUUACAGCUUGUACUACCCGGCUGGCGGGCGCGCCCCGGCGGCGGCGGUGGUCGGCUGCGUCUGCCUCGACUACCUUAGGUGCAGCGAGUGCGAGCGCAUCCUGGGCCAAUCCUUCCUCGCAAUCGAGCUCAACGUCCGCAAGAAGCAGCGCACGGAUCCUCCCGUGCCGGCGGCGCGCGUCGGGCAAGAGCUAGGGCAGGGGGGCGGGCCGGGCUCGCACGGGGCCGAGGGGUCCGACGCGGCUCUCUCCGGCAUGGCGCACCGGGUCGUGCCGGGCUCGCACCCACCGUCGGACGGGGCCGAGGGGUCCGCUGCGGCAGUCUCCGGCAUGCCGUACCGGCUCGUGCUAGGCUCGCAUCCAUCGUCGGACGGGGCGGAGGGGUCCGACGCGGCAAUCUCUACCAUGGCGCACCGGAUCGCGCCGGGCAUGAACAGCGGGGUCGAGGUGUUCGAGGCGGCCAUCUCCGGCAUGACGGCUAGGCUCGGGCUCGCCGCCGCCGUGGGGGAGCGUGCCAAGGAGGUGUUCAGGAGGAUGGAGAGGGCCAACGCGUGGCAUUACGGCAGGGGCUGGACCAAGGACCUCAGCAAGGGGCUGGCCUACGCGGCCUGCCUCUCGAUCGCGUGCAGCACAGACGGCUCGGCGCUGUCGCCGAGGGAGCUGGCCCGGGCAGCAGCCGCGGACGGCGGCGCGGCCUCGCCGAAGGAUAUUGCCACACUGGUCGCGCACAUCAAGAGGCGGCUCGGGGAGGAGGAGGCAGCCGGCAGGGCAGACCGGCUUGUCCCAGGCUCUGACGGGGUCGAGUGGUCCGGCACUGCAGUCUCCAGCAUGGUGGACCGGCUCUGGCCGGGCUCGCAACCCCCGUCAGACGGGGACGAGGGGUUCGAGGCGGCCAUCUCCGGCAUGGCGGCUCGGCUCGGUCUCCCGGCCGCGGUAGGUGAGCGUGGCAAGGAGGUUUUCCGGAAGAUGGAGGAGGCCAGUGCGUGGCCGCAUGGCCCGGGCCGGUCCAAGUUCCGAAGCAACGCCCCGCUGGUCUACGCUGCCUGCCUCUCCACCGCGUGCCACAACGAGGACUCGGCGCGGUCUCUGAGGGAGCUGGCCCUGGCGGCAGCGGGAGACGGCGGCCCGAAGUCGAUGAAGGAGAUCGCCAGGCUGGUAUCGCACAUCAGGAGCCAGCUCGAAGAGGCCGGGCAGCUGACAUGCAUCGGCAUGGUGAGCGUCUCCAGCUUCCUGCGCCGCUUCAGCGCGUAUAUCGGGCUGGCAGAGGCGGAGGAGACGGUGGCUCUGGAGGCGGCGCGGCGGCUCGAGGAGGGCGCCCUCGACGUGCCGCACAGCCCGGGGUCCGUGGCGGCCGCCAUUGCCUGCCUGACCCUGGAGCGCGCCGGCGCCUGGAAGCCCGGCAAGGACGUGGCAGCGGCCACCGGAGUCUCCGACAUGACCAUCUACAUGGUGUGCAGGAAACUGCGCCCGCAUGCCGAGCUGCUCUUUGGCUGA
Molecule: ribosomal RNA, 1542 nt
Filed under: Triticum aestivum (bread wheat)
Lineage: Eukaryota; Viridiplantae; Streptophyta; Magnoliopsida; Poales; Poaceae
Description: partial small subunit ribosomal RNA
Source: RNAcentral